AACGAACGCUGGCGGCAGGCCUAACACAUGCAAGUCGAGCGGACCCUUCGGGGUUAGCGGCGGACGGGUGAGUAACGCGUGGGAAUAUGCCCUUCUCUACGGAAUAGUCCUGGGAAACUGGGGGUAAUACCGUAUACGCCCUUUGGGGGAAAGAUUUAUCGGGGAAGGAUUAGCCCGCGUUGGAUUAGGUAGUUGGUGGGGUAAUGGCCUACCAAGCCGACGAUCCAUAGCUGGUUUGAGAGGAUGAUCAGCCACACUGGGACUGAGACACGGCCCAGACUCCUACGGGAGGCAGCAGUGGGGAAUCUUAGACAAUGGGGGCAACCCUGAUCUAGCCAUGCCGCGUGAGUGAUGAAGGCCUUAGGGUUGUAAAGCUCUUUCAGCUGGGAAGAUAAUGACGGUACCAGAAGAAGAAGCCCCGGCUAACUCCGUG
This 433-nucleotide ribosomal RNA is filed under the name uncultured bacterium. RNAcentral describes it as "partial 16S ribosomal RNA". It matches the Rfam family "Bacterial small subunit ribosomal RNA", at positions 29 to 507 of the family's 1533-position model. The record is from RNAcentral.